CCUACGGGUGGCUGCAGUGGGGAAUAUUGGACAAUGGGCGAAAGCCUGAUCCAGCCAUGCCGCGUGUGUGAAGAAGGCCUUCGGGUUGUAAAGCACUUUCAGUGGGGAAGAAAGCCUUGGGGCUAAUACCCUCGAGGAAGGACAUCACCCACAGAAGAAGCACCGGCUAACUCCGUGCCAGCAGCCGCGGUAAUACGGAGGGUGCGAGCGUUAAUCGGAAUUACUGGGCGUAAAGCGCGCGUAGGCGGUCUGAUAAGCCGGUUGUGAAAGCCCCGGGCUCAACCUGGGAACGGCAUCCGGAACUGUCAGGCUAGAGUGCAGGAGAGGAAGGUAGAAUUCCCGGUGUAGCAGUGAAAUGCGUAGAGAUCGGGAGGAAUACCAGUGGCGAAGGCGGCCUUCUGGACUGACACUGACGCUGAGGUGCGAAAGCGUGGGUAGCAAACAGGAUUAGAUACCCGGGUAGUC
This 465-nucleotide ribosomal RNA is filed under the name Vreelandella stevensii. RNAcentral describes it as "partial 16S ribosomal RNA". It matches the Rfam family "Bacterial small subunit ribosomal RNA", at positions 338 to 795 of the family's 1533-position model. The record is from RNAcentral. Lineage: Bacteria; Pseudomonadati; Pseudomonadota; Gammaproteobacteria; Oceanospirillales; Halomonadaceae.